GACGAACGCUGGCGGCGUGCUUAACACAUGCAAGUCGAACGGAAAGGCCCUGCUUUUGUGGGGUGCUCGAGUGGCGAACGGGUGAGUAACACGUGAGUAACCUGCCCUUGACUUUGGGAUAACUCCAGGAAACUGGGGCUAAUACCGGAUAGGAGCUCCUGCUGCAUGGUGGGGGUUGGAAAGUUUCGGCGGUUGGGGAUGGACUCGCGGCUUAUCAGCCUGUUGGUGGGGUAGUGGCGUACCAAGGCUUUGACGGGUAGCCGGCCUGAGAGGGUGACCGGCCACAUUGGGACUGAGAUACGGCCCAGACUCCUACGGGAGGCAGCAGUGGGGAAUAUUGCACAAUGGGCGGAGGCCUGAUGCAGCAACGCCGCGUGCGGGAUGACGGCCUUCGGGUUGUAAACCGCUUUCGCCUGUGACGAAGCGUGAGUGACGGUAAUGGGUAAAGAAGCACCGGCUAACUACGUG
RNAcentral lists this ribosomal RNA (468 nucleotides) under uncultured bacterium. RNAcentral describes it as "partial 16S ribosomal RNA". It matches the Rfam family "Bacterial small subunit ribosomal RNA", at positions 28 to 507 of the family's 1533-position model. The record is from RNAcentral.